Petromyzon marinus (sea lamprey) is the source of this 197-nucleotide non-coding RNA. The record is from RefSeq and is a predicted model, not a curated record. NCBI's taxonomy places the organism in Eukaryota, Metazoa, Chordata, Hyperoartia, Petromyzontiformes, Petromyzontidae.
CCCUCACCAGCACCAUCACCACCACCAGCACCACCACCACCACCCUCACCACCACCCUCACCACCAUCACCACCACCGCGAGAAGCCCCCAGCUGAAGAGGCCUCCCCAGUCGCCGCCGUUGUGAUGGCUGCAGUGAUGAUGACGUCAUCCGAUCUGGUCACGAAGGAAACGCAACUCAACCUGAAUUGUGACACAU